This 468-nucleotide ribosomal RNA is filed under the name uncultured bacterium. RNAcentral describes it as "partial 16S ribosomal RNA". It matches the Rfam family "Bacterial small subunit ribosomal RNA", at positions 28 to 507 of the family's 1533-position model. The record is from RNAcentral.
GACGAACGCUGGCGGCGUGCUUAACACAUGCAAGUCGAACGGAAAGGCCCUGCUUUUGUGGGGUGCUCGAGUGGCGAACGGGUGAGUAACACGUGAGUAACCUGCCCUUGACCUUGGGAUAACUUCAGGAAACUGGGGCGAAUACCGGAUAGGAGCUCCUGCUGCACGGUGGGGGUUGGAAAGUUUCGGCGGUUGGGGAUGGACUCGCGGCUUAUGAGCUGGUUGGUGGGGUAGUGGCUUACCAGGGCUUUGACGGGUAGCCGGCCUUAGAGGGUGACCGGCCACCUUGGGCCUGAGAUACGGCGCAGACUCCUACGGGAGGCAGCAGUGGGGAAUAUUGCACAAUGGGCGGAAGCCUGAUGCAGCAACGCCGCGUGCGGGAUGCCGGCCUUCGGGUUGUAAACCGCUUUCGCCUGUGACGAAGCGUGAGUGACGGUAAUGGGUAAAGAAGCACCGGCUAACUACGUG